GGGGGGGAUGAGGAUGGAAGGGUGGACUGAAAUCACAACGAAGCUUUGGAUUAUUCCUAUCAUAGGUUUCAUAAACGCUCAGCUCUUCCUGAUCCUCCGUGGCUAGAGAAAGUCAUACUGUAUGCUUUAUGUGCAUGAGAGACAUUUAUGUAUUUACAGUGCACACGCUUCAAUGGCUACUCCUGUGUUGAGGACAUCUGGCUCCAAGGUUGACAUAUUUUCUCCUCUACCUCUCUGUCUCUAACAACAACCUUAUCAUCCUCCAUUACACACCUGGAUUGUAUUACAUAUUAGUUCUCUUAACAGAGAUAGGUGUAAAACAAGGAUGAUGGGGAUGGGUCUGUGACGGAUAUCAUCGUGAGAAAGAGAGAAAUAGAGGGAGCGAGAGAAUGUGAGAGAGAAAGGGGGGGAGAGGGGGGAUAGAGAGAGACAGGGGAUAGAGAGAGACCGGGGUAGAGAGAGACAGGGGAUAGAGAGAGACCGGGGUAGAGAGAGACAGAGUGUAGAGAGAGACAGGGGCAGAGAGAGACAGCCAGGGAGAGAGAGAGACAGACAGGGACAGAGAGAGACAGACAGGGACAGAGAGAGACAGACAGGGAUAGAGAGAGACAGGGGUAGAGAGAGACAGGGGAUAGAGAGAGACGGGGAUAGAGAGAGAUAGGGGAUAGAGAGAGACAUAGGUAGAGAGAUACAGGGGUAGAGAGAGACAGGGGGUAGAGAGAGAUAGGGGAUAGAGAGAGACAUAGGUAGAGAGAUACAGGGACAGAGAGAGACGGGGAUAGAGAGAGACAGGGGGUAGAGAGAGACAGGGGAUAAAGAGAGACAGGGUAGAGAGAGACAGGGGAUAGAGAGAGACAAGGGUAGAGAGAUACAGGGGAUAGAGAGAGACGGGGAUAGAGAGAUACAGGGGGUAGAGAGAUACAGGGGUAGAGAGAGACAGGGGGUAGAGAGAGACAGGGGGUAGAGAGAGACAGGGGAUAGAGAGAGAUAGGGGAUAGAGAGAGACAUAGGUAGAGAGAUACAGGGGGUAGAGAGAGACAGGGGUAGAGAGAGACAGGGAGUAGAGAGAGACAGGGGAUAAAGAGAGACAGGAGGUAGAGAGAGACAGGGGAUAGAGACAGACAGGGGUAGAGAGAGACAGGGGUAGAGAGAGACAGGGAUAUAGAGAGACAGAGGUAGAGAGAGACAGAGGUAGAGAGAGACAGAGGUAGAGAGAGACAGGGGUAGAGAGAGACAGGGGGUAGAGAGAGAUAGGGGAUAGAGAGAGACAGGGAUAGAGAGAGACAGGGGAUAAAGAGAGACAGGGGGUAGAGAGAGACAGGGGGUAGAGAGAGACAGGGGAUAGAGACAGACAGGGGUAGAGAGAGACAGGGAUAGAGACAGACAGGGAUAGAGAGAGACAGAGGUAGAGAGAGGGGAUAGAGAGACAGGGAAUAGAGAGAGACAGGGGAUAGAGAGAGACGGGUAGAGAGAGACAGGGGAUAGAGAGAGACGGGGGUAGAGAGAGACAGGGAAUAGAGAGAGAGACGGGGUAGAGAGAGACAGGGGGUAGAGAGAGACAGGGGUAGAGAGAGACAGGGGUAGAGAGAGACAGGGGUAGAGAGAGACAGGGGUAGAGAGAGACAGGGAGCAGUUAUCCUCUCUAUUUCCUCUGCACCAGCUUUGCGGUUUCUGUGUGGAACAGAUGUUCACAACUUGAUACAGUGCACCAUGCCCCUCUCCUUGCUAUCUUCAGUCCCAGCACUACCAACUGUCUGCACACACACAUUCUCCCUCUCUCUCUCUUGCAUGCCAAUGUGGACACAAUUGCUUGCCUGAAUACAUGUGGAUGUAUUCAGGUGAAAACAGCGUAAAUUGAGAACUUUCUACUGCUGCCCAAUUGACUUUCUCUCCUGUUCCUGCAUCCUGCUCUUUAGUAAACAUUUCACUUUAACGAGGUGCUAUUUCCUGAUCCUUUAGCAGGGAGGGUGACCAGCCACCACUGACCUCAGGGUCUCCUCUUUCACACACACUGAGCUAAGCAGAGUACAUACAGUGUGUGUGUGUGUGUGUGUGUGUGUGUGUGUGUGUGUGUGUGUGUGUGUGUGUGUGUGUGUGUGUGUGUGUGUGUGUGUGUGUGUGUGUGUGUGUGUGUGUGUGUCCUCUGGCCCUGCUAUGAAUUAAAAAAUAAUGUAGGAGAAUUACUGUUUAAAACGUAGAGAGCGUCAUUUUGAGUUCAAAUUCCCAUCAUGCUUCGAUGAACUGAACGGCCACUUUACUGCACGAUUGCAAAUAGAAUGUCACAGGGUCUAUAUGGAUGCAAUUUGUAAAACCAGCAUCAAACGUGUGCUUGACUAGACGGAGCAAUGAUCCGUUGCGCCAUGCUACAUUGCAGCAGAGGAGCUCUCUGUCUGUCUCUCUCAUCCUGUGUUGUCUGUUCUCAGGCAUCAUCUGAUGACUUUAAAGACGGUCACGACGCUGAUAUAAAAGCUGUCAGAUAGCUCACAGCUUCCACGGUCAUACCACCUCAAAAUAGCAAACUUCAAUGUGAGUGUCAAAAACAACAAUG
RNAcentral lists this long non-coding RNA (2548 nucleotides) under Salmo salar (Atlantic salmon). RNAcentral describes it as "lncRNA (ENSSSAG00000090638.1, ENSSSAG00000101855.1)". The record is from RNAcentral. Lineage: Eukaryota; Metazoa; Chordata; Actinopteri; Salmoniformes; Salmonidae.